RNAcentral lists this long non-coding RNA (1952 nucleotides) under Cinara cedri. Lineage: Eukaryota; Metazoa; Arthropoda; Insecta; Hemiptera; Aphididae. The record is from RNAcentral.
ACAUAAUUUAUAUUGAUUGACAACUGUUCGCCCUAGUGACGAGGUUAAACUCACUAUUGAUAGGGUUCAUUGACAUAAAUAUUACUAUUUUAUUAAAUCGAUAAUUCUCAUAACUUAGUUCAUACAUAUUCUUUUUUUUAUAUAUUUUAUUUUCAACAUAAUUUAUAUUGAUUGAAAAUUGUUCGCCCUAGUGAUGGCGUUAAACUCACUAUUGAUAGGGUUCAUUGACAUAAAUAUUUCUAUUUUAUUAAAUCGAUAAUUCUCAUAACUUAGUUCAUACAUAUUCUUUUUUUUAUAUAUUUUAUUUUCAACAUAAUUUAUAUUGAUUGAAAAUUGUUCGCCCUAGUGAUGGCGUUAAACUCACUAUUGAUAGGGUUCAUUGAGAUAAAUAUUACAUAUUUGUUCUAUAUUAUCAAAUCGAUAAUUCUCAUAACUUAUUUCAUACAUAUUCUUUUUUUUAUAUAAUUUUUUUUUCAACAUAAUUUAUAUUGAUUGACAAUUGUUCGCCCUAGUGAUGGCGUUAAACUCACUAUUGAUAGGGUUCAUUGAGAUAAAUACUACAUAUUUGUUCAAUAUUAUCAAAUCGAUAAUUCUCAUAACUUAUUUCAUACAUAUUCUUUUUUUUAUAUAAUUUUUUUUUCAACAUAAUUUAUAUUGAUUGACAACUGUUCGCCCUAGUGAUGGGGUUAAACUCACUAUUGAUAGGGUUCAUUGAGAUAAAUACUACAUAUUUGUUCAAUAUUAUCAAAUCGAUAAUUCUCAUAACUUAUUUCAUACAUAUUCUUUUUUUUAUAUAAUUUUUUUUCAACAUAAUUUAUAUUGAUUGAAAAUUGUUCGCCCUAGUGAUGGCGUUAAACUCACUAUUGAUAGGGUUCAUUGAGAUAAAUAUUACAUAUUUGUUCUAUAUUAUCAAAUCGAUAAUUCUCAUAACUUAUUUCAUACAUAUUCUUUUUUUUAUAUAAUUUUUUUUUCAACAUAAUUUAUAUUGAUUGACAACUGUUCGCCCUAGUGACGAGGUUAAACUCACUAUUGAUAGGGUUCAUUGACAUAAAUAUUACAUAUUUGUUUUAUAUCAUCAAAUCAAUAAUUCUCAUAACUUAAUUCAUACAUAUUCUUUUUUUUAUAUAAUUUUUUUUCAACAUAAUUUAUAUUGAUUGAAAAUUGUUCGCCCUAGUGAUGGCGUUAAACUCACUAUUGAUAGGGUUCAUUGAGAUUAAUAUUAAACAUUUGUUCUAUAUUAUUAAAUCGAUAAUUUUCAAAACUUAGUUCAUACAUAUUCUCUUUUUUAUAUAUUUUUUUUUUUUCAACAUAAUUUAUAUUGAUUGACAACUGUUCGCCCUAGUGAUGGGGUUAAACUCACUAUUGAUAGGGUUCAUUGACAUAAAUAUUACUAUUUUAUUAAAUCGAUAAUUCUCAUAACUUAGUUCAUACAUAUUCUUUUUUUUAUAUAUUUUAUUUUCAACAUAAUUUAUAUUGAUUGAAAAUUGUUCGCCCUAGUGAUGGCGUUAAACUCACUAUUGAUAGGGUUCAUUGAGAUAAAUAUUACAUAUUUGUUCUAUAUUAUCAAAUCGAUAAUUCUCAUAACUUAUUUCAUACAUAUUCUUUUUUUUAUAUAAUUUUUUUUUCAACAUAAUUUAUAUUGAUUGACAACUGUUCGCCCUAGUGAUGGGGUUAAACUCACUAUUGAUAGGGUUCAUUGACAUAAAUAUUACUAUUUUAUUAAAUCGAUAAUUCUCAUAACUUAGUUCAUACAUAUUCUUUUUUUUAUAUAUUUUAUUUUCAACAUAAUUUAUAUUGAUUGAAAAUUGUUCGCCCUAGUGAUGGCGUUAAACUCACUAUUGAUAGGGUUCAUUGAUAUAAAUAUUACUAUUUUAUUAAAUCGAUAAUUCUCAUAACUUAGUUCAUACAUAUUCUUUUUUUUAUAUAUUUUAUUUUCAACAUAAUUUAUAUUG